ACAGGUAGAGGCCUCGCGACGGGCCGAUUCCUCAUCUAAGGAGUCCUACCGAAUGUCUAUAGAUCAAGUCAACGAAAAGUUGGGACCCGCACUUAAAGAACGGGUCAUUCCCAGUAUCCCAGUGUGGAUAUUCAUUAACUUUGUAGUCAUUAAGGUACAGGAACUCCCGAGAUUUACGCAGCAGUGGUUAUCCAUUGAAUUGAUUAAUACGCAGUGAGGUCUGUAAAUGCGUUCACAUGUUAUUCCAGUUAGUUCUCAUUUUGCAAUGUGGAAUAAAAACUAUCCUAUGGUUGGAAUUCUGUUCUCGAAUUACGCGUGUCCUUGCAUCCCGCGAUUCAUUCGUGACAUCCAGUAUUUUGGUCACAUAUCACCUUUCAUAAACUUGCCAUGUUGGUAUUUUUAUGUGUUAUUUGCACGUUUCCUGACUUGUCAUAUUGUAAAAUGUGUAGUUGGUACCAGUAAAGAUGGCGACGUAAUAAUACAUAGGUUGUUAAUAUUAAAAACUGAAGAAAAUUGUAUUCAAAUUAUAUCGAAACAAAGAAAAUGUAAAAAGAGGUAAAUUUAGAAGAUUUUUGAAGCAGAAGGGUUCAUCGUAUUUCAGACAUUGUUAUUGUACGUCUACCAUGCAAAUUGUGAAAUUGAGAUGUCAGGUGCUCAUGGAGGCGAGUAUGAAGAUGACUAUUUUCUCGGAUGUUGCGUCAUGUAAUAUGUAGAUACUGACUGAUGUUUCAGACGAACCUACUGCCUUCGUCAUCAGGGCUAUGAGUAAGUAGAUGGUAUUUUGUUUAUAUCCAGUUUGAAGUGAGAGUGAAUGGAAAAUAUCCCCUUUUACAAAAGAAUGUUGCAUUUAAUAAGUUGUGUCUCUGGUUACAAUAACUAUAUAUUAUAUGGAAAACAAGUGUUCGAUUGUAGCUACGUUAUUAUUCCCGAUAUCGUUUCACUUUGAAUACGUUUUGAUCAUGAGUCAUGAAGACCACUCAACAGGCUUAUUACUAAUGUAAGAAUAUGUUUUGAGGUCGUCGCGGUAUGAGGUGAGAUUUUAGUUUGAGUUGUGACAUGUAAUAUUGUGGUUAAAGUGAAGAUGGAGACAGCUAGUUUCUCCGAAACUGUUCAAUCAUAAGGCUACACGGCACAACUCAGAAAACCACAAUGAACGUACAUGUAAUAUGGUACUAAGUUGUUUCGUGUUGUGUAACACAAGCCAGGGCAAAUAAAGCAGUUUGGUGGACGUAGGCCGACUGAUAACAUGUCUGUCGAGGAUUUUCAACCCACUAAAGCGAAUGUCCUCUGUGGAAGAUUCUAAGGUGCCGAUAUGCUACAAUAUUGUAUAUUAGUGGAUCCCAACAUUUGUAUGCAGUUUUGAUGGCGAACGUCACGGUGCAUUUCAUAGUACUAAUCAUCUAUUACUCUCUCUUUCGAAAUAUUCUAAGAAACUAUUAGACCGAGUGCAGUGGUUUCCACGGACGAGCAGUACUUUGAUGUUGCUGUGUGGUCUCUGGACAGCUGGAUAAUAUUUUCCAUUCUCACACGACUUGUCCCCAGAGAAGACUUCUUUCAAAUAAGGCAUAUGCGAUGUCUGACAGGAGAUAUAUCAGCUGCAUUUUCACAAAGAACUCGGCGUUUCUGGAAAAUGCCAAACAAAUGUUUUAAAAGCUCAGAUACGAUUUAGAAGCGUAGUUCACAACGAGUCGACUGCACCGUAUACAUCGUGUUCUCAUUGCAUGCAGUGAUUCAGAACUGGUUACAAGUUUCGUAUAUUGUCAAAAUAAACAGCUACUGUUUCAUUAAAAAUCAUAAAUAGAUUUUUUUAAGUUGGAGCUGAAUGUUUAAAUAAUAUUCAGACGAACUUCUUGCUUCGAAGGUGUUACAAUUCGUACGCAGUUGUCCCUUUGAAUUACAAAGUUUCUUAUUAUCCUUCAUACUGACCAAAAUUUUGUCAACAGUUGACAGACAUUUUUCUGUGCUGAAAUAAAAACCAUGCACGUUUAUCUUAAUGUCAAA
Non-coding RNA from Zootermopsis nevadensis, 2001 nucleotides. The record is from RefSeq and is a predicted model, not a curated record. NCBI's taxonomy places the organism in Eukaryota, Metazoa, Arthropoda, Insecta, Blattodea, Termopsidae.